AAUCAACGCUGGCGGCGUGCCUAACACAUGCAAGUCGAACGCGAAAGUGGAGCAAUCCAUGAGUAGAGUGGCAAACGGGUGAGUAACGCGUGGGCGACCUACCUCUGAGUGGGGGAUAACCUUCCGAAAGGAGGGCUAAUACCGCAUGACAUCCCGUGUUUAGAUACACGGACAUCAAAGUCGGGGAUCGCAAGACCUGGCGCUUGGAGAGGGGCCCGCGUCCGAUUAGCUAGUUGGUGAGGUAACGGCUCACCAAGGGCUCCGAUCGGU
Molecule: ribosomal RNA, 270 nt
Filed under: uncultured bacterium
Lineage: Bacteria
Description: partial 16S ribosomal RNA
Rfam family: Bacterial small subunit ribosomal RNA
Source: RNAcentral